AAAGAUACUCCUACGGAGCCCUUUUUUAUGUGUGUAUGUGUUUUUGAUAUAAAAAUGAUGUUUGCAACAAAUAGAGUGUGGGAAUGAGAAAAGAAUUCAUUGAUUAUAUUUUUGUGUUUGGCAAGACCUUCAGACUUGUGCCUACGUACCAACAUAAAAUGAGGGAUCAAAACCUCGUAGUUCGUGGUAACAAUUUCAAAGUGAAUGCAUUGCUUUUAACAAAAAUUUAAGUUUAACGAAGG
Molecule: long non-coding RNA, 242 nt
Filed under: Lathyrus oleraceus (garden pea)
Lineage: Eukaryota; Viridiplantae; Streptophyta; Magnoliopsida; Fabales; Fabaceae
Description: Pisum sativum (pea) long non-coding RNA (PSAT_LNC011341)
Source: RNAcentral